GCUAACUCCGUUCCAGCAGCCGCGGUAAUACGGAGGAUCCGAGCGUUAUCCGGAUUUAUUGGGUUUAAAGGGAGCGUAGACGGAUAGGCAAGUCUGGAGUGAAAGUUUGCGGCUCAACCGUAAAAUUGCAGUUGAUACUGGAUAUCUUGAGUGCAGUUGAGGCAGGCGGAAUUCGUGGUGUAGCGGUGAAAUGCUUAGAUAUCACGAAGAACUCCGAUUGCGAAGGCAGCCUGCUAAGCUGCAACUGACAUUGAGGCUCGAAAGUGUGGGUAUCAAACA
This 279-nucleotide ribosomal RNA is filed under the name uncultured bacterium. RNAcentral describes it as "partial 16S ribosomal RNA". It matches the Rfam family "Bacterial small subunit ribosomal RNA", at positions 496 to 774 of the family's 1533-position model. The record is from RNAcentral.